This 402-nucleotide ribosomal RNA is filed under the name uncultured Roseococcus sp. RNAcentral describes it as "bacterial SSU rRNA". It matches the Rfam family "Bacterial small subunit ribosomal RNA", at positions 355 to 774 of the family's 1533-position model. The record is from RNAcentral. Lineage: Bacteria; Pseudomonadati; Pseudomonadota; Alphaproteobacteria; Acetobacterales; Roseomonadaceae.
UGGGGAAUAUUGGACAAUGGGCGCAAGCCUGAUCCAGCAAUUCCGCGUGGGUGAAGAAGGUCUUCGGAUUGUAAAGCCCUUUCGACGGGGACGAUGAUGACGGUACCCGUAGAAGAAGCCCCGGCUAACUUCGUGCCAGCAGCCGCGGUAAUACGAAGGGGGCUAGCGUUGCUCGGAAUGACUGGGCGUAAAGGGCGCGUAGGCGGCACACAUAGUCAGGCGUGAAAUUCCUGGGCUUAACCUGGGGGCUGCGUUUGAUACAUGUGAGCUAGAGGAUGGAAGAGGCUCGUGGAAUUCCCAGUGUAGAGGUGAAAUUCGUAGAUAUUGGGAAGAACACCGGUGGCGAAGGCGGCGAGCUGGUCCAUUACUGACGCUGAGGCGCGAAAGCGUGGGGAGCAAACA